AAGAUCAUACUUCAUAGGAUCAUUUCUAUAGUAUGAUUAGAGGUUCACUCACCGAACCUCGCAGAAAACCCAACCACGAUGAUGUGAGAUGGGAUUUCUUCCUGAGCGUGAAAGUGGCCUCGUGGUUUCCUUCGGGCUGCCGCAAUGCCGUUGAUGAUCGCACUCUAUGACUCUUGCAGUCGGGAGAUGGAAGAAAUUCGAUCUGAGUGGU
Small nucleolar RNA from Argiope bruennichi, 211 nucleotides. RefSeq annotates it as small nucleolar RNA U3. The transcript has a single exon. NCBI's taxonomy places the organism in Eukaryota, Metazoa, Arthropoda, Arachnida, Araneae, Araneidae. The record is from RefSeq and is a predicted model, not a curated record.